GACUGAUUGGCGCAAUGGUAGCGCGUUUGAUUCCAACAAAUGAUGAUAUCAAAAGGUUGCGUGUUCGAGUCACGUAUCGGUCA
RNAcentral lists this transfer RNA (83 nucleotides) under Terfezia boudieri ATCC MYA-4762. It matches the Rfam family "tRNA". From Rfam's summary of the family: Transfer RNA (tRNA) molecules are approximately 80 nucleotides in length. Lineage: Eukaryota; Fungi; Ascomycota; Pezizomycetes; Pezizales; Pezizaceae. The record is from Rfam by way of RNAcentral.